CAAAUGAGUUGCAUGGCUCUCCUCCAAGUGCCCUGGACCUGCCCUCUGCUUCCAGCUGACUCAGCCUGGCUGAUGCUUCCCCCAGCAUCAGGGCUGCCCUUUGACCCUCCUUAUAGAAAAGGUGACAAAAAAUCCACAAGGGCUCUCGGCCUUAGCGCCAUCUUUUGAGAAACCUCUGCGCCAUGAGAGCCAAGUGGAGGAAGAAGUGAAUGCGCAGGCUGAAGCGCAAAAGAAGAAAGAUGAGGCAGAGGUCCAAGUAAACUUGUACACCCAUGGAAGCCACAGAAGCAGAAACAAGGGAAGCCAGAGGCCAGGGACGCUGGUGCAAAUUGUGGACUGCAUGCCUACUAUCUAGAACUUCUCAAUGGAUCUGGAACAUCUAUGGCCAUUCUGAUCGCCUUGACCACCUUUGAGAGACCUACCUUGCUCGUAUCAAAGCCGUCCCUUUUGAUCCUUUGCCCUGGACCUGUGAUAACUAUGGACCAGUUCUCUUCUCAGUUGUGGCUGAAUGUAACGUGUACAAUAAAUCAUCUCUUUUGCUGUCUUA
Long non-coding RNA from Dama dama (fallow deer), 547 nucleotides. RefSeq lists it as uncharacterized. Lineage: Eukaryota; Metazoa; Chordata; Mammalia; Artiodactyla; Cervidae. The record is from RefSeq and is a predicted model, not a curated record. The transcript has 2 exons.